RNAcentral lists this transfer RNA (73 nucleotides) under Ailuropoda melanoleuca (giant panda). It matches the Rfam family "tRNA". Rfam says of the family: Transfer RNA (tRNA) molecules are approximately 80 nucleotides in length. Lineage: Eukaryota; Metazoa; Chordata; Mammalia; Carnivora; Ursidae. The record is from Rfam by way of RNAcentral.
ACCUGGCUGGCUCAGCUGAUUGAGUGUGUGACUGUUGAUCUCAGGGUUGUGGGUUUGAGCCCCACAUUGGGUA